RNAcentral lists this ribosomal RNA (250 nucleotides) under uncultured bacterium. RNAcentral describes it as "partial 16S ribosomal RNA". It matches the Rfam family "Bacterial small subunit ribosomal RNA", at positions 524 to 773 of the family's 1533-position model. The record is from RNAcentral.
UACGAGGGGUCCAAGCGUUGUUCGGAAUCACUGGGCGUAAAGCGGGUGUAGGUGGCUUUGUAAGUCACAUGUGAAAGCCCCGGGCUCAACCCGGGAAGUGCAUGUGAUACUGCAAAGCUUGAGUACGGGAGAGGAUGGCAGAAUUCCUGGUGUAGUGGUGAAAUACGUAGAUAUCAGGAGGAACUCCGGUGGCGAAGGCGGCCAUCUGGCCCAGUACUGACACUCAGACCCGAAAGCGUGGGUAGCAAAC